This 706-nucleotide ribosomal RNA is filed under the name uncultured Candidatus Poseidoniales archaeon. RNAcentral describes it as "bacterial SSU rRNA". It matches the Rfam family "Archaeal small subunit ribosomal RNA", at positions 216 to 923 of the family's 1478-position model. The record is from RNAcentral. Lineage: Archaea; Methanobacteriati; Thermoplasmatota; Candidatus Poseidoniia; Candidatus Poseidoniales.
UGCGACGUAUCAGGUUGUAGGGGGUGUAACGUACCCUCUAGCCAUCAACGCGUACGGGUGUUGGGAGACAUAGCCCGGAGAUGGAUUCUGAGACACGAAUCCAGACCCUACGGGGUGCAGCAGGCGCGAAAACUUGGCAAUGCGAGCAAUCGUGACCAGGGAACUCCAAGUGGCUGGGGUAAUACCCAGUUUUUUCUUGACUCUUCAAAGGUCUUGGAAUAAGGGGUGGGUAAGGACGGUGCCAGCCGCCGCGGUAAUACCGGCGCCUCAAGUGGUAGUCGCUUUUAUUGGGCCUAAAACGUCCGUAGCCGGUCUGGUGCAUUCGUGGGUAAAUCAACCCGCUCAACGGGUUGAAUUCUGCGAGCACGGCCAGACUUGGGACCGGGAGAGGUGUGGGGUACUCUCAGGGUAGGGGUAAAAUCCUGUCAUCCUGAGAGGACCACCUGUUGCGAAGGCGCCACACUAGAACGGAUUCGACGGUCAGGGACGAAACCUAGGGGCACGAACCGGAUUAGAUACCCGGGUAGUCCUAGGUGUAAACGCUGUGGACUUGAUGUUGGGGGUGCUCCGAGCACUCUCAGUGUCGAAGCGAAGGUGAUAAGUCCACUGCCUGGGGAGUACGGUCGCAAGGCUGAAACUUAAAGGAAUUGGCGGGGGAGCACUGCAACCUGAGGAUUGUGCGGUUUAAUUGGAUUCAACGCCGGAA